Molecule: long non-coding RNA, 1572 nt
Filed under: Nicotiana tabacum (common tobacco)
Lineage: Eukaryota; Viridiplantae; Streptophyta; Magnoliopsida; Solanales; Solanaceae
Description: long non-coding RNA (NTAB_LNC015494)
Source: RNAcentral
AACCCCCCUCCUUCGUCUCUCAUCUCCUCAGAGACGACCCUGUUUCACUGCCUCAUUCCGCCCGCCGGAAAUCGUCCACGGCGGCGGAAGGUGGCCAAUCACCCCUAAAAAUACACCCCAGAACCCCAUCGCACCCUUCUUUCCAAAUCCAUGACUCGUUUCCCUCGAAUCGUGUCAGAACUCGUUGAAUAUUUGAUUGAAGUUCGGACCCCUGAACCCUAGCCUAUCCAAUCACCCUCAUCUUUAUACCAUAGAACCACCCCGAGCCCCUCUUUCCAAAUCCAUGACUGUUUUCCCUCGAAUAUUCCCCGAACUCGUCAAAUUUUGGAUCGAAGAUAAGACCUAAAAAUGUCAAAACUCCAAAAUCGGUAGAUUUGGUGAUGAUUAAGACCAAAACGGACCUCAGUCAUGUAUUUUCAUCUGAGAACACGUGAUUGAGAUCUCUUUCGGUCGAAAUUGAGAGUUUGAAGAAGAAAUUCAAAGCUGGCCAUUUUUGCUAGGUAUUUUUAUUCAUUAAAAUGGUAUUGCACGAUUUUGUUUGUUAUUUUUAUUUUCAUUUUAGUCUUUGUUGUAUCCGCCUUUCUUUUCUUCAUUAUAGACUCACAUAUUAGUCCGUCAAUUACAUGAUUAAUUUAAUAGCAUGUUUAAUUCAUUAGUUUCUAUUAUUUAGUUCGUCAUCAUCUGUUCCUUCGCCCCUGUUUCUUUGUAAAAGUUUCUUGUUUUGUUUGAAAUGGGUUUCUGGAUGGUGCUCAAUGGGGAUUACAGAUUUAUGGGUUCUGAAUUGGGUCAACUUGAGCCAUUUUGGCUUUGAUUCUAGGGUUAGUUUCAGGGUUGUAAGGAUAGCUUGAGAAUUAUUUAAUAAAAGGAGCAGUCACCUAAUUAAGAAGCUUCUAUAGUGGUAGGGUUUAGAUUUCAAUUGAGUGGAAUCGAAUUUUUAAAUGUUGAAAGGCACUCUGUGAAUCCUAAAGGCAUUUCCCAUUGCCUAUUUAAGGAAACAACACACUAAGAAAAGGAAAAAAAGGCGGGUACUCUGAAAUACAUAGAUUCUGAUACUCUGAAAUACAUAAAUUCUGAUAUUCUGAAAUACUGAGAAGAAAAAAGAGAUUCUGAAAAAAACAAGAAAAAAAAUAGGAAGAGGAGAGGACGUUCUGAAAAAUACAAAAAAUAAUGAAGAGCCAAGAAAUCCUGAAAAUAAAAAAAACAACUGUAAACUCUGCAGAAAACACUGUUCCAUUGAGUUUUUUUUAGUUUGUACUUCAUUUUUGAGUUAAAGAUCUUUCUGUUGGUCUGCUCUUCGAUUGCUGGGGUUCUACUGCUGCUGCUGUUUAUUACUGUUUCACCUCUUACCUUCCCUUUCUUCAAAUUCCAGGUACUUUCCUGCACCUCAUGGAUAUAUGAGAUUAGAAGAAUUUGAAAUCAUAUUGCUGGGCCACAGCUUGUGUCAUGUCGAUUUGCCUUUUACAUGUUAUAUUCUAGCUAUAGUUCCCUGAUCGAUUCCUAGCAUAUAUAACCUUUUGUCAUAUAAUUCUUAGUUGUUGCAAUUUUUGCCUUAAAGUUCAUUUGUAAAUAAGC